Drosophila persimilis is the source of this 605-nucleotide long non-coding RNA. RefSeq lists it as uncharacterized. Lineage: Eukaryota; Metazoa; Arthropoda; Insecta; Diptera; Drosophilidae. The record is from RefSeq and is a predicted model, not a curated record. The transcript has 3 exons.
ACAAAAACGCCGGUUUGGAUCCAUAUACCACGGACAGAGGGCGGUACACGUCGCAGCGCAGCGUUGGCUUGCGAUGUCCCAAGGCCCCAGAGCUCAGUACCGUGGACCUGACUAUCGACCUGCAAGCUCCAUAGGACCCAUUAAGCAAUGCAACAGCAGCAGCUUGCUCUGCACUGAACAGGAUGCCAUAGCCAGCACAACACCUCAUCUAUACUCAUACUGCACUCGAUUUCUGGCAGCUCAUCUGUUUUCAUAUUCUGAAGCAUGGACACGUUUGCAGAAGGAUGGGUGUCAUCUCUGGGCUGACUCAACUCUGAAAAGAUAGACACAUUCUCUUUUACAUCCUUAUAUCGUAGCUUUGAUGACGUGGCACUAUCAUGGCACGCAGCUCGUCACCGCUCUUAGCACUGAUCGAAGUCGAUACGGAGUUGGUACUAGCCAUGGACUAUCCGGGCAAAAACCGCAAAAGCAGGAGGUCCAAGAAAAGCUACUCAAAGCCACUCCGCAAGUCUCGUAAAUCCCUCAAAUCCAACAAGCCAAAGUGCAAGAAGACUGUUCAGCCACAGACAUGUAUUUAAUGAAUAUUACGAAUAUACAGUGCAAUC